AUACGUAGGGGGCGAGCGUUGUCCGGAAUGAUUGGGCGUAAAGGGCGCGUAGGCGGCCCGGUAAGUCUGGAGUGAAAGUCCUGUUUUUAAGAUGGGAAUUGCUUUGGAUACUGUCGGGCUUGAGUGCAGGAGAGGUAAGUGGAAUUCCCAGUGUAGCGGUGAAAUGCGUAGAGAUUGGGAGGAACACCAGUGGCGAAGGCGACUUACUGGACUGUAACUGACGCUGAGGCGCGAAAGUGUGGGGAGCAACAGGAUUAGAUACCCUGGUAGUCCACACUGUAAACGAUGAAUGCUAGGUGUAGGGGGUAUCGACCCCUUCUGUGCCGCAGUCAACACAAUAAGCAUUCCGCCUGGGGAGUACGGCCGCAAGGUUGAAACUCAAAGGAAUUGACGGGG
Molecule: ribosomal RNA, 396 nt
Filed under: uncultured bacterium
Lineage: Bacteria
Description: partial 16S ribosomal RNA
Rfam family: Bacterial small subunit ribosomal RNA
Source: RNAcentral